This is a long non-coding RNA of Fundulus heteroclitus (mummichog), 1454 nucleotides long. RefSeq lists it as uncharacterized. NCBI's taxonomy places the organism in Eukaryota, Metazoa, Chordata, Actinopteri, Cyprinodontiformes, Fundulidae. The record is from RefSeq and is a predicted model, not a curated record. The transcript is spliced from 3 exons.
CCCUCUAGCGAACUACUACUUUGCUGUGCUUAGUCGGAAUUGUUGAGGGGCGGGGGUUGCAUGCAACAGGAACAACUAUCGGACAUGGGGUGGAGAGGAGGACUUUACAAACCUGUUGGUUUUAUAACCUUCAUUUAUCACAAAAAGUUAUUUUGAUAUGAUUUUAGGUGAGAAAGUUAACCUUGUCAGACCCAGCAGAGCCAGAGACCAGCUCACAGGCGGGCCUGACCAAGUAGUCCUGCUCGCAGCUGUUGCCUGUUGCUACUACUUCGAUCAGGAAUUUAACGCAAUGUGAAACAACAGAAUUUUUAAAGUGUAACAUCAUUUGUGCUUUUCUUUAUUCAUUUGACAUUCUGAAGCACAAUAAAUGUCUUGUGUUUUGUCAGGUUGUUGAAAAGGAUGAUGCAGAAAGAGAGCUUCAGCAGUGCACAAUGGCCGUGUUUGUCAUCAGGGAGGAAGAGGAUCCGUUAAAGACACCAUGUGACAUAGGCAUCAUUAUUGAAGGUGAUUUACAUCUGAGCCGAUUACUACCCUUCAUAAUGAGCUGGAACCAGGGGGAGGGCAUCAGUUCAUUAACCCUCCUGCAUGAACCCUGGAUACCAAGACCACACCUCAAAAACCACAUAACUCUGAACACUCCUCUGAGGUGUUCAUAGCCAGCCUCCUUGAAUCCAUGAAGCCUCGGACCCAUACUCUGCGUAAGCCCUCCUGCCUGAGCUCUCCUGCCUGUCCACCCUCUGACACCACGCCUGGAGAACACCCACCCAACGUGCACCUUCCACCCGGACCACUGGACAUCACCCUCCUAAGCCUGAACCAAGCCACCUCCUCAGUGUGUCCCCAUGCUCUUCACAAUUCUCUUCAUUGAAACCAGAACCUUCCAGUGGCUCACCUCACCUUUCCCAGCAGAACCCGGAAAACGCAGCCAGCCGACAUCAUCUCUGCUGAGACCACAACCUUUCAAUAAAAACUCUUAACUGAUCAUUGCCUCCGUGAUUGCGCUCAUUCAGGGUCUUCCUUCGUUAACAUGUGAAAGGGUUUUUAGAAUGUUCUGAAAUGUUCUGGGGUGUUUUGGUGUUGGGAACAUAAGGAUAACUGAACUCUGUGAUAUAAACUUGGCUCUGUAUUUCAUCAACAUUGGACACCGGAGUUAGAAGCUAGAGGCCUAUGAAGGGAGGAAGGAGACAACAGGGCCUGGUUUAACUGUUUGUUGCUGCCAAAGAACUGAGCAUCUUCCUUACAAAGUUGAGAGUGAUAAAAUGUUUAGCUAUUCUUGUAUACACAGUGUAAGAGUAUUCCAUCUAGGGAAGAAGGAAAACAUCUGUUUGGAUACGUGACGCACACAUAUACACACCCAUAUGAGAGAACAACCCUAUAAGAGGAAGUCAAAGCAUGUAAUGCUCGGGAUUUUGGUUGGUUUCUGUUCAAUGAAGAUGUGACUGUAAAAUAAUCCC